Long non-coding RNA from Cebus imitator (Panamanian white-faced capuchin), 145 nucleotides. RefSeq lists it as uncharacterized. The transcript is spliced from 3 exons. The record is from RefSeq and is a predicted model, not a curated record. NCBI's taxonomy places the organism in Eukaryota, Metazoa, Chordata, Mammalia, Primates, Cebidae.
AGAAAACCUGUUCACUGCUGCAGGUUAUGGAUCAUCAGUUCAUUCAACUGUUCCUUAGAUGACGUGGUUUUCACUUCCAUUAUCAUGUGUUGCUGUUAUCCCACUGCUGAGCAGGACACAGUCCCCAGUGAAGAGUGAUCGGUGG